GGGUGCGAUCAUACCAGCACUAAUGCACCAGAUCCCAUCAGAACUCCGAAGUUAAACGUGCUUGGGCGAGAGUAGUACGAAGAUGGGUGACCUCUUGGGAAGUCCUCAUGUUGCACCCC
RNAcentral lists this ribosomal RNA (119 nucleotides) under Ricinus communis (castor bean). The record is from RNAcentral. Lineage: Eukaryota; Viridiplantae; Streptophyta; Magnoliopsida; Malpighiales; Euphorbiaceae.